Molecule: ribosomal RNA, 253 nt
Filed under: uncultured bacterium
Lineage: Bacteria
Description: partial 16S ribosomal RNA
Rfam family: Bacterial small subunit ribosomal RNA
Source: RNAcentral
AACGUAGGUGGCGAGCGUUAUCCGGAUUUACUGGGCGUAAAGGGUGUGCAGGCGGGCUGGUAAGUGGUGUAUGAAAUAUCCCGGCUCAACCGGGAAGGGUUAUGCCAGACUGGCAGUCUAGAGAGCGAGAGAGGGACGUGGAAUUCCGGGUGUAGUGGUGAAAUGCGUAGAGAUCCGGAGGAACCCCAGAGGCGAAGGCGGCGUCCUGGCUCGCAUCUGACGCUCAGACACGACAGCAUGGGGAGCGAACGGG